CUACGGGCGGCACCAGUGGGGAAUAUUGGACAAUGGGGGAAACCCUGAUCCAGCAAUGCCGCGUGUGUGAAGAAGGCCUGCGGGUUGUAGAGCACUUUCGGUUGGGAGGACUGCUUCUAGCACUAAUAUUGUUGGAAGUUGACGUUACCUUCAGAAGAGGCACCGGCUAACUCCGUGCCAGCAGCCGCGGCAAUACGGAGGGUGCAAGCGUUAAUCGGAAUUACUGGGCGUAAAGCGCGCGUAGGCGGCUAGAUCAGUCGGGUGUGAAAGCCCCGGGCUUAACCUGGGAACUGCAUCCGAUACUGUCUAGCUUGAGUACAGGAGAGGAGAGUGGAAUUCCACAUGUAGCGGUGAUAUGCGUAGAUAUGUGGAGGAACACCAAUGGCGAAGGCAGCUCUCUGGCCUGAUACUGACGCUGAGGUGCGAAAGCGUGGGGAGCAAACAGGAUUAGAUACCUCCGUAGUC
RNAcentral lists this ribosomal RNA (465 nucleotides) under uncultured bacterium. Its description in RNAcentral is "partial 16S ribosomal RNA". It matches the Rfam family "Bacterial small subunit ribosomal RNA", at positions 339 to 795 of the family's 1533-position model. The record is from RNAcentral.